CAAUAGCGUAUAUUUAAGUUGUUGCAGUUAAAAAGCUCGUAGUUGGAUUUCGGGUGGGACGCAGCGGUCUCGCAUUGCGUUUGUACUGCUGCAGCCCUCCUUCUUGCCGGGGGCGGCCUCUCGGACUUCACUGUCUGGGGGUCAGAAUCGGCGAUGUUACUUUGAGUAAAUUAGAGUGUUCAAAGCAAGCUUACGCUCUGAAUAUAAUAGCAUGGGAUAACACGACAGGACUCUGGCCUAUCGUGUUGGUCUAUAGGACCAGAGUAAUGAUUAAGAGGGACAGUCGGGGGCAUUCGUAUUCCGUUGUCAGAGGUGAAAUUCUUAGAUUUACGGAAGACGAACAUCUGCGAAAGCAUUUGCCAAGGAUGUUUUCAUUGA
Molecule: ribosomal RNA, 378 nt
Filed under: uncultured eukaryote
Lineage: Eukaryota
Description: partial 18S ribosomal RNA
Rfam family: Eukaryotic small subunit ribosomal RNA
Source: RNAcentral